Molecule: ribosomal RNA, 465 nt
Filed under: uncultured Bifidobacterium sp.
Lineage: Bacteria; Bacillati; Actinomycetota; Actinomycetes; Bifidobacteriales; Bifidobacteriaceae
Description: bacterial SSU rRNA
Rfam family: Bacterial small subunit ribosomal RNA
Source: RNAcentral
AAGCUUUCGCGGUAUGGGAUGGGGUCGCGUCCUAUCAGCUUGACGGCGGGGUAACGGCCCACCGUGGCUUCGACGGGUAGCCGGCCUGAGAGGGCGACCGGCCACAUUGGGACUGAGAUACGGCCCAGACUCCUACGGGAGGCAGCAGUGGGGAAUAUUGCACAAUGGGCGCAAGCCUGAUGCAGCGACGCCGCGUGAGGGAUGGAGGCCUUCGGGUUGUAAACCUCUUUUAUCGGGGAGCAAGCGAGAGUGAGUUUACCCGUUGAAUAAGCACCGGCUAACUACGUGCCAGCAGCCGCGGUAAUACGUAGGGUGCAAGCGUUAUCCGGAAUUAUUGGGCGUAAAGGGCUCGUAGGCGGUUCGUCGCGUCCGGUGUGAAAGUCCAUCGCUUAACGGUGGAUCCGCGCCGGGUACGGGCGGGCUUGAGUGCGGUAGGGGAGACUGGAAUUCCCGGUGUAACGGUGG